GAGUGACCCCAACAGAGUGUCCCGGGACUCAGGCCUCUGAUCAAGUUACCCCCAGAGGAUCAGAGAGGGGUUGACGAAGGAGAAGCAUUCAGAGGGCACUGGCUUCUGGACAGCAAUGAGUGCCCGGGCCACGCGGCCCCGAAGCCGGCGAGGGAGGCAUGCUCCACCCGGUGAACUGGAUCCCGUGGCUGAGAGUUCAGAGGAGGUCGAGGCAGCCAGUGGGAGCUCCAAGCCCAGCUUUGCCCCACCUCCGGUGAGCUCCGGGCUGGAGCAGCUGGGCCCCAUGGAGGAGGUCAGUGGCCAAGGCCUAGGAAGCAGGUAAGACCCGCUUGGUCUGUGCCCUUCACUCCAGUCCAGACGCAUCUUUGCCAUCCACAGAUCUGCUGAUGUGCCUGCUCUGCUCACACACCUACCAUAGCUCCCUAUUGCCUUCAGCCUGACUUUCUUUUUUUUUUGAGUCUUGCUGUGUCACCCAGGCUGUAGUGCA
RNAcentral lists this long non-coding RNA (487 nucleotides) under Homo sapiens (human). RNAcentral's name for it is "non-protein coding lnc-NR2F6-2:4". The record is from RNAcentral. Lineage: Eukaryota; Metazoa; Chordata; Mammalia; Primates; Hominidae.